This 502-nucleotide ribosomal RNA is filed under the name uncultured bacterium. RNAcentral describes it as "partial 16S ribosomal RNA". It matches the Rfam family "Bacterial small subunit ribosomal RNA", at positions 28 to 507 of the family's 1533-position model. The record is from RNAcentral.
GACGAACGCUGGCGGCGUGCUUAACACAUGCAAGUCGAACGGUGAAGGGGCCUGCUUUUGUGAGCCCUGGAUGAGUGGCGAACGGGUGAGUAACACGUGAGUAACCUGCCCCCUUCUUCUGGAUAACCGCAUGAAAGUGUGGCUAAUACGGGAUAUUCUGGGUCUGUCGCAUGAUGGGUCUGGGAAAGAUUGCGCCUUUGGGUGUUUUUGGUGGGGGAUGGGCUCGCGGCCUAUCAGCUUGUUGGUGGGGUGAUGGCCUACCAAGGCGGUGACGGGUAGCCGGCCUGAGAGGGUGGACGGUCACACUGGGACUGAGACACGGCCCAGACUCCUACGGGAGGCAGCAGUGGGGAAUAUUGCACAAUGGGCGCAAGCCUGAUGCAGCGACGCCGCGUGAGGGAUGGAGGCCUUCGGGUUGUAAACCUCUUUCGCCAGUGAAGCAGGCCUGCUCCUUGUGGGUGGGUUGACGGUAGCUGGAUAAGAAGCGCCGGCUAACUACGUG